Solanum lycopersicum (tomato) is the source of this 488-nucleotide long non-coding RNA. RefSeq lists it as uncharacterized. Lineage: Eukaryota; Viridiplantae; Streptophyta; Magnoliopsida; Solanales; Solanaceae. The record is from RefSeq and is a predicted model, not a curated record.
UUUUGGUUAGUCCACACCAUUAUAUCUUUAUUUAUACACAAUUUUCUAUCAAUAAUCUCAACAGCCCCAUUACGAUUGGUUGAAGCAAAUAUGGUUGUUGAUUGAAGUCAAAGAGAUUCUUGAAACAGUGUAAUCUGUUAAAGAAAUAUAAUGAACCAUUCAAAAGACAUCGGAGGAGUACUAUUUUUCUGGCGGGAGAUCGAAGAAAUCAAUUGGAGAUAGCAGGACAAGGAGCAUAUAACAGAAGAGUUCGACACAGAUCAAUUCAUUUUAAACUAUCAUUUUUCUGUGGAUGCAGGUCUAUACGUUUACCUCAGAAUCAACGUAUUCAUCCAUCCAAUGAAUAUGGAGAGGUCAAAUACAACUACAAAAGGGCACUUUAGAGGCAACAAAAUGUGUAUUUAACAAUGACAAAAAAGUAUGGAAUUAGUACAAACACUUGUACUAAGUAUGACAUUAUGCAUAAAAUCAUGAAAACAGACAUUUAU